AGCCGCCGCGGUAAUACCAGCAGUUCAAGUUGCAUCCCUUUUUAUUGGGUCUAAAACAUCCGUAGCUUGCCGUUUAAGUCUCUUGUGAAAUCCUACGUCUCAAGCGUGGGGCUUGCAGGAGAUACUGAGCGGCUAGAGAUCGGUAGACGUAAGGAGUACGCCGGGGGUAAUGGUUAAAUAUGUUAAUCCUCGGUGGACUAACAAUGAGCGAAGGCACCUUACGAGGACGAAUCUGACAGUGAGGGAUGAAGGCCAGGGGCGCAAAACGGAUUAGAUACCCGUGUAGUCCUGGCAGUAAACACUGCUCACUAGACAUCGGGCCCUCUUCGGGAGGAUUCGGUGCUGAAGCGAAGGCGAAGAGUGAGCUACCUGGGAAGUAUAGUCGCAAGAUCGAAACUUAAAGGAAUUGGCGGGGAGACAUACAACGAGUGACGCGUGCGGUUCAAUUAGAUUUUACACCGUGAACCUCACCAGGAGCGACAGCAGGAUGAAGGUCAGCCUAAAGGGCUUACCUGACACGCUGAGCGGAGAUGCAUGGCCGACGUCAGCCUGUGCUGUGAAGUGACCUGUUAAAUCAGGUAACAGGCGAGACCCGUGUCGAUAAUUACUACAGAAAUGGGUACUUUAUCGAGACUGCCUUGGUAACAAGGAGGAAGGUGCGGGCUACGUUAGGUGAGUACGUCCCUAAUCCCCUGGGCUACACGCGCGCGGCAAUGAUAUGUUCAAUGAGAUGCGACUCCGAAAGGAGAAGCUAAUCCCUUAACGCAUAUCUCAGUCCAGAUCGAGGGUUGCAACCCACCCUCGUUACGUUGGAAUUCGUAGUAAUCGGAUAUUAGCACUGUCCGGUGAAUAAGUCCCUGUCUCU
RNAcentral lists this ribosomal RNA (865 nucleotides) under uncultured euryarchaeote. RNAcentral's name for it is "bacterial SSU rRNA". It matches the Rfam family "Archaeal small subunit ribosomal RNA", at positions 460 to 1337 of the family's 1478-position model. The record is from RNAcentral. Lineage: Archaea; Methanobacteriati; Methanobacteriota.